Molecule: non-coding RNA, 402 nt
Organism: Onychostoma macrolepis
Lineage: Eukaryota; Metazoa; Chordata; Actinopteri; Cypriniformes; Cyprinidae
Source: the annotation of a RefSeq genome assembly
AUGGACAAGUUCAAAGGUCAAACACUGACUGAGUCUGAGUCAGUCGUCAUCAAACCAGGGAACAAUCAUAAACUGACCUGUACCUUCUCUGGGAUUGAUGUUGGAGCUGCAGAUAUUUCAUGGAUAAAACAGGCUGAAGGGAAAGCACUUGAGUGGAUCUCAUAUAUUUCUGCUCCAAGUGGCAGCGACAAAUAUUACUCUAAAACCGUUGAAGGACGAUUCACCAUCUCCAGAGACAACAACACCAAUUUGUUCCUACCGGCUUGUCUACAUCCGCCUCUGAAUAAGGAAGAUUGUCAGGACAUCUGCUUUUCCAGUAAAAUGCAGGUGUAUAAUCUGCAUAUGACAAAUCUGCAGGCUGAAGACACUGCCGUUUAUUAUUGUGCCCGAAAAACACAGUAA